RNAcentral lists this unclassified non-coding RNA (739 nucleotides) under Hevea brasiliensis (rubber tree). The record is from RNAcentral. Lineage: Eukaryota; Viridiplantae; Streptophyta; Magnoliopsida; Malpighiales; Euphorbiaceae.
UCCAAGCAUUACAUAUGACGGAACCUGUAAACCCAGAAUUGUCGUAAUUAGCGUCUUUACAUGAAGUGAUGCUCAAUUGAUCUUCAUCAAACCACAAACACAAAUUCUACAUACUACACCCUAUAUAUAAAGUGUAAAUUUUUGAGAUUUCAGGUUCACCCCUUUUGCAGAAGGGUGGACUUGAACAACAAAGGGGAAGACUUGAUCAAUAUAAAGCAUGAAGGAAAGGACUUGAAUCACAAAGGUACAGACUUGAUCCUCUAUGCAGGACAAUAAAAAAAAGAUCUGACCCAUAUGAACAGUUAUAGGUAUAAAGUGAAACAGCAGCUGGCUUGAUCCUAUAGAGCAAAGGUGUUGCUUGAUCCCAUUUAACACAUGAAAGAAAUGGACUGAUUAAUAUGAACACCAAAACAAAGAACUUGGUGCUAUACAAGGUACAAAAAUGCAAUGGAUUUGAUCCCAUAUGAAGCAUUAAAGCAAACUUGAUUGCAUAAUCUGCACAACACCAAAAUAGUGGACACUAUUUAUUUCUCUGUAGAAAAAAAAAGUAUUAACUAAUUUAUAAAGCACCAAAAGAAAACAAUAAAAAGAAAAAGGAGUAAAUUUGAUACUACGUGAAACAUAAAAAAGACAUGAUCGCAGAUGUCAUUCCACCAAAAGCCAAAAAUAAAUAAAUAAACAAACAUGUGUGUGGCAGCCUAAUUCAACGUAGUCCCAAAAGAGUAAGCCUAAAAAUGAG